AUGGGUGCCUGCCCCCAGCUUCCCGAAGCCCAGCCACCAGCCCCUGCCUCCUCGCAGCGCCCCCAGGAGUCUGCCCCUACAGUGGGCCGGCCACUCCCUGCCAGAGAGAGCUGGAAAAUGGCCUUGAUUUGGGUGGUUUUUGUUUACUUGCGCAGUUAUGAACUUUGGAAUGUGCUGCGGGGCUCGAAGUUUCUCAACAUGGGUUCAGGACUCUGUGAACCACGGGGCCUUGAAAGCAAACUGCUGGUCCUGGUCCGGGGGAGAGGGAGGGGCGGGGCAGGCCGAAGAGGGCCUGGGGCCUGGAGCCUGGUGUGGCCACGGGGGCAGCAGGCCCAGGGACACCCAUACAUCAUCCCACGGAACCUGAGUUUGAAUUCCAGUCUCCUUCCUGCUCCCCAACCCUGGACCGUGCUGCCAAGCCCUCUGCCUGACCAUCAUUUAAGUCACCACCUGUCAUGGGACACAGUGGAAUGUGUCCUCAAAAUAAAUUCAGCAUCUCCAAUUCUACCAUUAGUUAUUCUUUCCUUUGGGUUAUUGUAUCGUCAGCAUUUGCUGCAGCGACAGGCACCCCAACAUCUCAGAGGCUCACGACAUUUAGUGUGUGACACGCGACCACUGUGAGCCGGCUACCGCUCUGCUGGCCCGGCGGGCCUCAGAGGGCGUCAGAGGGCCCGGCUGGCUCCAGGGUUGUCCAGCGUCUGUUCUCCUGGAGGAUCGCUGCAGUAAGAGGGAAGAACCAAACACAGCUUGGGCUCGGGGGUGGCUACCUCCCACCGGCCAAAGCAAGUCACACGGUCAAGCUCCCCCUCAGUGGGGUCAGGGAGGCUGACGGGAUGGGGGCAAGCGAUACGCUCUCCCCCAGUGUGCACCAGGUUCUCCUGCCACCACGGCUGUCUUCCUUCAGGUCACGCCCACGUCCUCAACGGCGGGGAGUCGAUUACGGUGCUGCUCACUCCUUCCUGCCCACCCACCAGCAAACGGCCACAAUGGGACGCGUGCCGGGAGGUCAAGGAGAAGGGACAGUGACCACCAGGGGCAGGGGCAGGGGAGGCUCCCAGUGGGGACUGGCCACGGCCGCACUUGUCACCACUGACAUUGCUGCUCUGCCCUGGAGUGACCCGAGAGGAACUGUUCCCACCGGCUCAGCAGGCAGGAGCUGAGCCCCUCGGGUCUGGGUUUGCCCGGUUGGACCACUCCCCUGCAGGCCUGAGGGGUGACCCAGGAGCCGGGGGAGGCCCCCGAGGCCCCAGGGGUAGGAGGCAGAACAGAAGUCAAGAAGGAGCCACUCACAGAUCCAUCCUGGGACAGCUCCCUUCUCCUUGGGGUUUUCCCGGGACUCUCUGGGGACAGAAGAGAAAGGCUGCCUGCUGCCCCAGCCGCUCCCAGCAGCCUUUCUGGACGGCAAGCCCAUGGCUACUGGGCCCUGAUCAGAUGGCCUAGCCUGUGCGUCUGGGAGGCCCGUGGGGAGCCACGGCUGUGGCUGUAGCUGCUAGCCGUUGCUGAGAAAGAAGCCGGGUGGGUGAGCCAUGGAGGGCAGGGGGGUGGGCAAGAUAGGCCCCCACCCAAGCAGCUGGGGCAGAACCUGCAGCUGUGAGGAGAGCACCUGUCACCCUCCCCAGGUGAGCCCCACCAGGUGCCGUGGGGCUGAACGGAGCCAGCCGGGGGACGGGAGCCCCACCUGGCAGGGCCUGGCCACGAACACGCAGCUGGGCAGCGGAAGAGCUGGUCUGGCCCUGUGGCCCCGAGACACAGCUCCACACCGUCCCCUUGGGUGAUGCGACCUGGAGGUUGUGGGCUAGUGACUGUUAAGAUCCAGAACACCCCACCCGUGCAGCCAUGUUGCCGAGCCCCUGGGACAUAACAGUCCACGGCGAGGGGAGGAGGGGGAACCCCUUGCCUCAGGGAAGUCCCAAGUCCUCAGGCCUGAUGCCCAGGAGGACAUCCGUGGCCGGCAGGAGUCCGCGAACGGCAGAGUUUAGAACUGACAUGGCAGAGGCGGGAGGG
RNAcentral lists this long non-coding RNA (2004 nucleotides) under Ailuropoda melanoleuca (giant panda). Its description in RNAcentral is "lncRNA (ENSAMEG00000026964.1)". The record is from RNAcentral. Lineage: Eukaryota; Metazoa; Chordata; Mammalia; Carnivora; Ursidae.